UGGGGAAUCUUGCGCAAUGGGCGAAAGCCUGACGCAGCAACGCCGCGUGAGCGAAGACGGCCUUCGGGUUGUAAAGCUCUGUCAGGAGGGACGAAGCCACUCGGGUGAAUAGCCCAGAGGGUGACGGUACCUCCAGAGGAAGCCCCGGCUAACUACGUGCCAGCAGCCGCGGUAAUACGUAGGGAGCGAGCGUUGUCCGGAAUUACUGGGCGUAAAGGGUGCGUAGGCGGCAAAGCAAGUCAGAUGUGAAAUCCCCGGGCUUAACUCGGGAGGUGCAUUUGAAACUGCAUUGCUUGAGUGCAGGAGAGGAAAGCGGAAUUCCUAGUGUAGCGGUGAAAUGCGUAGAUAUUAGGAAGAACACCAGUGGCGAAGGCGGCUUUCUGGACUGUAACUGACGCUGAGGCACGAAAGCGUGGGGAGCAAACAGG
RNAcentral lists this ribosomal RNA (428 nucleotides) under uncultured prokaryote. RNAcentral's name for it is "bacterial SSU rRNA". It matches the Rfam family "Bacterial small subunit ribosomal RNA", at positions 355 to 776 of the family's 1533-position model. The record is from RNAcentral.